UACGUAGGGUGCAGGCGUUAAUCGGAAUUACUGGGCGUAAAGCGUGCGCAGGCGGCUAUGCAAGACAGAUGUGAAAUCCCCGGGCUCAACCUGGGAACUGCAUUUGUGACUGCAUAGCUAGAGUACGGUAGAGGGGGAUGGAAUUCCGCGUGUAGCAGUGAAAUGCGUAGAGAUCCCCAAGAACACCAGUUGCGAAGGCGGCCGACUGGACACAUAUUGACGCUGAGGCUCGAAAGCAUGGGGAGCAAACAGG
This 253-nucleotide ribosomal RNA is filed under the name uncultured bacterium. RNAcentral's name for it is "partial 16S ribosomal RNA". It matches the Rfam family "Bacterial small subunit ribosomal RNA", at positions 524 to 776 of the family's 1533-position model. The record is from RNAcentral.